RNAcentral lists this ribosomal RNA (484 nucleotides) under uncultured bacterium. RNAcentral describes it as "bacterial SSU rRNA". It matches the Rfam family "Bacterial small subunit ribosomal RNA", at positions 8 to 507 of the family's 1533-position model. The record is from RNAcentral.
AGAGUUUGAUCAUGGCUCAGGACGAACACUGGCGGCGUGCUUAACACAUGCAAGUCGAACGGUGAACCAGAGCUUGCUCUGGGGAUCAGCGGCGAACGGGUGAGUAACACGUGGGCAACCUGCCCCAGACUCUGGGAUAACCUCGGGAAACCGAUGCUAAUACCGGAUACGACCACUUCGGACAUCCGACGGUGGUGGAAAGUUUUCGGUCUGGGAUGGGCCCGCGGCCUAUCAGCUAGUUGUGGGGUAAUGGCCUACCAAGGCGACGACGGGUAGCCGGCCUGAGAGGGCGACCGGCCACACUGGAACUGAGACACGGUCCAGACUCCUACGGGAGGCAGCAGUGGGGAAUAUUGCACAAUGGGCGAAAGCCUGAUGCAGCGACGCCGCGUGAGGGACGACGGCCUUCGGGUUGUAAACCUCUUUCAGCAGGGACGAAGCGAAAGUGACUGUACCUGCAGAAGAAGCACCGGCUAACUACGUG